CGAUCGCGUAUUUGUGUAGGACUUGUCGGUGGAAAGAUUUACCCUACGAGAGAGAGAAUUGGAUCGUGGGUUCUCGAGACACGAGACAGACAGUUGGAAACAACGUCGUAAGGUAAAGACAAAAACGACUUGGGGUAAUUUCUCUUAAGUACACGGCAGUGGCGGAUUUAGAAAAUAAUUUUACCGGGGGCAAAGUAAUAUGCCGACUUUUUAAGAUAAAAAAUAAUUUAUUAUAUACUUUUUUAAUAUUGCUAAAUUAUUAUUAUUAUUUAUAUUUCUAAAAAAAUGCUAAAUGGUAAAGGAUAAUAAUAUUUGUUAACUUUAUAAUAGCUAACUAUAAUUUUAUUUUCAGUUAUUACAUCAUUAAAAAUGGUAUAAACAGUACUAUUUCACAUUUUUGAAAAAUGCUUUAACUCUGGGAAAAGAUAUUAGUUAGAGAAUGUGUAUAAUUUUAAUAAAACAAAAACAUUGUUUGGAAAUAAACCAAUGAAAAUGCUACAUUAAAAAGACAUUUAAAAGAAAGCUAAAUUAGAAAAGAAAAAGCAACCUAAACAAAAUGAAAAUGAAAAUAAUAUUGAUUUUGGUAAUAUUAAGUAUAGUAUAGGAAAGAUAAACAAUUAAUGGUAAGAUUUUUGGAAAGAAAAUAAGCAAAAAAGGAAAUGAAAAUGAAAAGAAAAAAAGAAAGAAGGGGCAUCGUGGGAUCAGAUCAUGGGAUUAAGGGAUGGCAAGUUUCUUCAUUCUACUAUUUGACUUAAAAAAUCUUUACUAAAAUCAAUAAAAAUACAAAAAUAUUGAUAUUUUACUGGGGGCAGCUGCCCCCUCUUCCACUACGUAGAUCCGCCCAUGUACACGGGCUAAAAGAAUUGGAUCGUGGGUUCUCGAGUCGUCUGUGGAUUGAGUGGAUACCCUAAAUUACCCUACGAGAGAGAGAAUUGGAUCGUGGGUUCUCAAGACACGAGACAGACAGUUGAAAACAACGUCGUAGGGUAAAGACAAAAACGACUUGGGAGACGACUCUGAUGAUGAUUUCCUCAUCAUUUUUUGUUUUUUUUUCAACGAUGACCUGACCAUCUCUUCUUCGGUCGUCAUCGUGUUCGUGCCUUGGGAUGAGCGGUUUCUAUGGGUGUAAUAUAUCUAGAAUUUAUUUGCUUUAGAAACUUAAAAGAUUUAAGUUUGACUCUAUUUAUUUGCUGUAGAAACUUACUCAAAACUAAAGCUCUCUCAAUCUUUCUAAACUCUCAACUUAUGCCACAACUUGACAUCUCCUUAUAUAGGAAAACACUUGACCAAAUCCUAAACAGCUACUUUCAUAUUUUAAAAAAUAUGUGACGAUGGAGUCUCGAAUUACUCUGUUUGCAGAUCUCAUAAACAGCUACUUUCAUAUUGAACAUUGUUUUGAAAGAUUUUUAGCAGUCUCGAGUCAUAAUCAAGAACAGAGAGAAACAAUUGAGAACGAAUAUUAAAUUAUAUAUAUAAUAUAAGACAAGAGCUAUAAGCUUAACGGAAUAACAAAUUGGUCCAACUCACUAAUUGUCACUAUUCAUUAACAUAGUUAUUAUAGUGAGCUAAUUAUGGUGUUUGCAGUUAUUUUAUAAGAAAGAUUUGACAUGUUACUUUCAAUCUCUCUGUUUGUAGUGAACUGUCUGCUCUGAUACCAUGAUCUGCUGUUUUGUCGAAGAAACACUUCAUGCAAGAACCAACUUGAACUCUUAACAGGCAUACAUAGUUAGCUAUAUAUCUCUUAAGAUGGGCCUAUAUAUUGGCAUAGUAAUGAUCUUAAGCGGAAUGAUCUAAAAGAUGUUUUGAUGAAGAACCUAGUGUUGAGGAGGGAAGAGAUGGCCAACAGAGCCAUAGACAGGACCACGAAGCCUUGCCAUGGCCUCGUAACAGAGGGUGACGACUGCAUCAAGUCGCUUGUGCAAAGGCAAUCUCAGUAAUAUCAUAGAGGCAUUACUGGCUCCAAAUACUUUGUGAACUGCUGCAAAUCUCGCAGUUCCUUGCUCUGGAUCGAAACAAGGAGCGAAAAUGCACCCUUUCACACACUUUCUCCUCCAAAACUUGCAC
RNAcentral lists this long non-coding RNA (2064 nucleotides) under Arabidopsis lyrata. RNAcentral's name for it is "long non-coding RNA (ALYR_LNC002188)". The record is from RNAcentral. Lineage: Eukaryota; Viridiplantae; Streptophyta; Magnoliopsida; Brassicales; Brassicaceae.